AACAAUGUAAAAUUGUAAUUUUUAUUGUACUGAACAAAUUAAAAUAUCAAUCAAAUCAAAUAAAAAACUAAAAAGGUCCAAAAUCAAAUCUAUGCUGCUGCUCAUCUGCAGGAUCCGAUGUCGGAUCGGCGAGAGGAGUACCUGCUGGAUGUGAUGUAGCGGCAGGAGGGGUGACCAAGGUAUCGUCUGCAGCAUCGGGAUCAAGAGCAGGAAGUGGCUGCUGCUN
This 226-nucleotide long non-coding RNA is filed under the name Jatropha curcas. RNAcentral describes it as "long non-coding RNA (JCUR_LNC000607)". The record is from RNAcentral. Lineage: Eukaryota; Viridiplantae; Streptophyta; Magnoliopsida; Malpighiales; Euphorbiaceae.